UGCAUGUGACGCAGCUUUUAAAAAAGGAGACGGAGGCAGAGACCCCAGAGAGGGAGGGCGAAGGGGAGGGCUUGGAGGCGCAGCCGCGCGCUCGGUGUCCGUCCUCCGGGUGCCGCCGGAUGGGGAGUCUGGCUGAGCCGGAGCGGGAGCCGCGGCUGGGGGAGGCGGAGCCGGGGUGGGCAGUGUGGUGUAUCUCUCUCCACCCCGGGCCGCGCUCCGGGAGGGAAAAGGGACUGCAGACCCCCUGUCCGUGCUCCCUGCUGAGACGCCAGCCUUCUUCUGGAGGCCCCUUGUUUCGCGUCCCUACCCUAGGCUGGAUGGCUGCUGUCCUUUGAGGGCUUCGGAGAUGAGAACAGGAAACAGGCCCCUCCAGU
RNAcentral lists this long non-coding RNA (374 nucleotides) under Homo sapiens (human). Its description in RNAcentral is "non-protein coding lnc-PPRC1-1:1". The record is from RNAcentral. Lineage: Eukaryota; Metazoa; Chordata; Mammalia; Primates; Hominidae.